Xyrauchen texanus (razorback sucker) is the source of this 215-nucleotide small nucleolar RNA. RefSeq annotates it as small nucleolar RNA U3. The record is from RefSeq and is a predicted model, not a curated record. NCBI's taxonomy places the organism in Eukaryota, Metazoa, Chordata, Actinopteri, Cypriniformes, Catostomidae. The transcript has a single exon.
AAGACUAUAUAUUCAGAGAUAAUUUCUAUAGUUUUUGAUUUGGAGAUGUGUUUAAAUUUUUUUUGUCUUCCUACCCACAAUGAUUAGCAUUGAUGCUCUUUUCUGAGCAAGAAUCAGGCACAGACAUAGGAUUUUGUUCAUAGAUCUUUACACUUGAUGAGUGUUCUGCUGUUUGCUUUUGGCAAUGUAGAGGAAAGGAGUAGGAUCAGAGUGGU